UGGGGAAUUUUGGACAAUGGGCGAAAGCCUGAUCCAGCAAUGCCGCGUGUGUGAAGAAGGCCUUCGGGUGUAAGCACUUUUGUCCGGAAAGAAAUCCUUGGCUCUAAUACAGUCGGGGGAUGACGGUACCGGAAGAAUAAGCACCGGCUAACUACGUGCCAGCAGCCGCGGUAAUACGUAGGGGUGCAAGCGUUAAUCGGAAUUACUGGGCGUAAAGCGUGCGCAGGCGGUUUGCUAAGACCGAUGUGAAAUCCCCGGGCUCAACCUGGGAACUGCAUUGGUGACUGGCAGGCUAGAGUAUGGCAGAGGGGGGUAGAAUUCCACGUGUAGCAGUGAAAUGCGUAGAGAUGUGGAGGAAUACCGAUGGCGAAGGCAGCCCCCUGGGCCAAUNCUGACGCUCAUGCACGAAAGCGUGGGGAGCAAACAGGAUUAGAUACCCUGGUAGUCCACGCCCUAAA
This 458-nucleotide ribosomal RNA is filed under the name uncultured bacterium. Its description in RNAcentral is "partial 16S ribosomal RNA". It matches the Rfam family "Bacterial small subunit ribosomal RNA", at positions 355 to 806 of the family's 1533-position model. The record is from RNAcentral.